RNAcentral lists this ribosomal RNA (513 nucleotides) under uncultured bacterium. Its description in RNAcentral is "partial 16S ribosomal RNA". It matches the Rfam family "Bacterial small subunit ribosomal RNA", at positions 28 to 523 of the family's 1533-position model. The record is from RNAcentral.
GACGAACGCUGGCGGCAUGCCUAAUACAUGCAAGUCGAGCGAACAGAUGAAGUGCUUGCACUUCUGACGUUAGCGGCGAACGGGUGAGUAACACGUAAGGAAUCUACCUAUAAGCGGGGGAUAACAUUCGGAAACGGGUGCUAAUACCGCAUAAUAUCUUCUUCCGCAUGGAAGAAGAUUGAAAGACGGCUCUGCUGUCACUUAUAGAUGACCUUGCGGUGCAUUAGUUAGUUGGUGGGGUAAUGGCCUACCAAGACGAUGAUGCAUAGCCGACCUGAGAGGGUGAUGGGCCACAGUGGGACGGAGACACGGCACAAACUCCUACGGGAGGCAGCAGUAGGGAAUCUUCCGCAAUGGGCGAAAGCCUGACGGAGCAAUGCCGCGUGAGUGAAGAAGGCCUUCGGGUCGUAAAACUCUGUUAUAAGAGAAGAACAAAUUGUAGAGUAACUGCUACAGUCUUGACGGUAUCUUAUCAGAAAGCCACGGCUAACUACGUGCCAGCCGCCGCCGUAA